RNAcentral lists this long non-coding RNA (229 nucleotides) under Populus trichocarpa (black cottonwood). RNAcentral's name for it is "long non-coding RNA (PTRI_LNC002985)". Lineage: Eukaryota; Viridiplantae; Streptophyta; Magnoliopsida; Malpighiales; Salicaceae. The record is from RNAcentral.
GGUCGGAUCGUCAGAGAGUAGAAAUCCGUAUGGUAAGAUUAGAUCUUGCCUGAGAAAACAAGUUAGGAAUGGCUUCUUCUUCUUCUUCUUCUGUUUUUUUUUGAACUGUCCUUGCGUUCAUCCUUGGGCAUGGGCUAAAAGCUAGGCCUUGGGUACUUCGAGAAGGGGGAAAUAUACCUGUCAUCAUUUCCAUUAAAAACUGGAUAGCAUACCACGGUCAGUAUAAUCA